Molecule: long non-coding RNA, 202 nt
Filed under: Mytilus galloprovincialis (Mediterranean mussel)
Lineage: Eukaryota; Metazoa; Mollusca; Bivalvia; Mytilida; Mytilidae
Source: RNAcentral
CCGUGUGGUUGUGCAGAAAAUCACGCCAGUCAGAAUGCGGACGUUUCAUUUAAUGCUUGGUGUAAGGAUAGUACAUGCUCUCUAUAUCUAAAACCCUUGCUUCAGUUAUUCAAAUAGUCAAUAGUUGGCAUAAUGCACGAGGAAAUCUCAAACCUUCAUGAAAGUUGAUCGCUUUCAGAACCGACCUAUAUUUGAUUUCUUG